AGUCUCGGGGUGUCACACGUUAGAUUGCAAAUCUAAAGAAGUAGAUAAUCGUCUACCGGGGCUU
This 64-nucleotide transfer RNA is filed under the name Bertella idiomorpha. RNAcentral describes it as "tRNA-Cys". Lineage: Eukaryota; Metazoa; Chordata; Actinopteri; Lophiiformes; Oneirodidae. The record is from RNAcentral.